Molecule: ribosomal RNA, 253 nt
Filed under: uncultured bacterium
Lineage: Bacteria
Also listed under: 1 other name
Description: partial 16S ribosomal RNA
Rfam family: Bacterial small subunit ribosomal RNA
Source: RNAcentral
UACAGAGGGGGCAAGCGUUGUUCGGAAUUACUGGGCGUAAAGGGCGCGUAGGCGGCCUUCUAAGUCGAACGUGAAAUCCCCGGGCUCAACCCGGGAACUGCGUCCGAUACUGGAAGGCUUGAAUCCGGGAGAGGGAUGUGGAAUUCCAGGUGUAGCGGUGAAAUGCGUAGAUAUCAGGAGGAACACCGGUGGCGAAGGCGGCUCUCUGGACCACAACUGACGCUGAGGCGCGAAAGCUAGGGGAGCAAACAGG